UCCUUUGUGGUAUAACGGUAGCACACUCGGCUCGUAUUCGAGAGGUCAAGGUUCAAGUCCCGGCGAGGGCA
RNAcentral lists this transfer RNA (71 nucleotides) under Stegodyphus mimosarum. It matches the Rfam family "tRNA". From Rfam's summary of the family: Transfer RNA (tRNA) molecules are approximately 80 nucleotides in length. Their secondary structure includes four short double-helical elements and three loops (D, anti-codon, and T loops). The record is from Rfam by way of RNAcentral. Lineage: Eukaryota; Metazoa; Arthropoda; Arachnida; Araneae; Eresidae.